GACGAACGCUGGCGGCGUGCUUAACACAUGCAAGUCGAACGGAAAGGCCCUGCUUUUGUGGGGUGCUCGAGUGGCGAACGGGUGAGUAACACGUGAGUAACCUGCCCUUGACUUUGGGAUAACUUCAGGAAACUGGGGCUAAUACCGGAUAGGAGCUCCUGCUGCAUGGUGGGGGUUGGAAAGUUUCGGCGGUUGGGGAUGGACUCGCGGCUUAUCAGCUUGUUGGUGGGGUAGUGGCUUACCAAGGCUUUGACGGGUAGCCGGCCUGAGAGGGUGACCGGCCACAUGGGGACUGGGAACCGGCCCAGAUGCCACCGGGGGGAAGCGGUGGGAAUAUUGCACAAUGGGCGGAAGCCUGAUGCAGCAACGCCGCGUGCGGGAUGACGGCCUUCGGGUUGUAAACCGCUUUCGCCUGUGACGAAGCGUGAGUGACGGUAAUGGGUAAAGAAGCACCGGCUAACUACGUG
Molecule: ribosomal RNA, 467 nt
Filed under: uncultured bacterium
Lineage: Bacteria
Description: partial 16S ribosomal RNA
Rfam family: Bacterial small subunit ribosomal RNA
Source: RNAcentral